AGUGAAUGCUGGCGGCAGGCCUAAUACAUGCAAGUCCAACGGCAGCACAGCAGAGCUUGCUCUGUGGGUGGCGAGUGGCGGACGGGUGAGGAAUACAUGGGAAUCUGCCCAGUCGUGGGGGAUAACGUAUGGAAACGUACGCUAAUACCGCAUGCGCCCUUUGGGGGAAAGCCGGGGACCUUCGGGCCUGGCGCGAUUGGAUGAGCCCAUGUUCGAUUAGCUAGUUGGCGGGGUAAAGGCCCACCAAGGCGACGAUCGAUAGCUGGUCUGAGAGGAUGAUCAGCCACACUGGGACUGAGACACGGCCCAGACUCCUACGGGAGGCAGCAGUAGGGAAUAUUGGACAAUGGGCGCAAGCCUGAUCCAGCCAUGCCGCGUGAGUGAAGAAGGCCCUCGGGUUGUAAAGCUCUUUUGUCCGGAAAGAAAAGCAUUCGGUUAAUACCCGGGUGUUCUGACGGUACCGGAAGAAUAAGCACCGGCUAACUUCGUG
This 490-nucleotide ribosomal RNA is filed under the name uncultured bacterium. Its description in RNAcentral is "partial 16S ribosomal RNA". It matches the Rfam family "Bacterial small subunit ribosomal RNA", at positions 29 to 507 of the family's 1533-position model. The record is from RNAcentral.